ACGACGAGGUUGAUAGGUUCGAGGUGGAAGUGCGGUAACGUAUGCAGCUGACGAAUACUAAUCGGUCGAGGGCUUAACCAAA
RNAcentral lists this ribosomal RNA (82 nucleotides) under Paenibacillus oryzisoli. RNAcentral describes it as "Paenibacillus sp. 1ZS3-15 partial 23S ribosomal RNA". It matches the Rfam family "Bacterial large subunit ribosomal RNA", at positions 2844 to 2925 of the family's 2925-position model. The record is from RNAcentral. Lineage: Bacteria; Bacillati; Bacillota; Bacilli; Caryophanales; Paenibacillaceae.